AAAGGGCCGCGGUAAUUUGACCGUGCGAAGGUAGCAUAAUCAUUUGUCUUUUAAUUGUAGGCUGGAAUGAAGGGCUGGAUGAAGGGCUAAGUGUCUCGUUAUUAUAAUUAAAAUUUUACUUUUAAGUGAAAAGGCUUAAAUAUAGUUAAGUGAAGAUAAGACCCUAUAAAACUUAUAUAUGAAUUUAAGCAUAGUCUAUUUAAUUAGUUUAAAGUGGGGUGAUUAAUUCGUAUUUUGUUGGGGCGACAAGAAUAGAAAUAUAUCUGUUCUUAUAAUAAGUUAGUAGUCAUUAUGAAGUGAGCCUUUAGUAGGGAUUAAAAGAAUAAGUUACUUUAGGGAUAACAGCGUAAUUUUCCUUGAGAGACCUAAUCGACAGGAGUAGUUGCGACCUCGAUGUUGAAUUAAAAUUUUCUAUCAAGUGCAGCAGCUUGAUUAGAUAGUCUGUUCGACUAUUAAAUUUUUACAUGAUUU
Molecule: ribosomal RNA, 471 nt
Filed under: Periclimenes diversipes
Lineage: Eukaryota; Metazoa; Arthropoda; Malacostraca; Decapoda; Palaemonidae
Description: partial 16S ribosomal RNA
Rfam family: Archaeal large subunit ribosomal RNA
Source: RNAcentral